CCAUGAAGACAGAAACAGUGCCAUCGUUCCGGGAGACUCCAGCUGGAUCCAGCUGUCACCUUAAUAACCUGUUGAGUAGGCGAAAGGUGAUGGCUGUGGGGGUCUUGCUUGCUGGCUCCUGGCCAUACACCUUCUGGUCAGCGUGUGGCUGCUGUGCCUUCUGUCUGCAUUGCUAGUGGUGCUGGGAGGAUGGCUGGGCUCCAGUGUCUCUGGAGUGGCUUCAAGUCCACUGCUCCUGGAAGGCUUCAUCCCAUUGGCCACCUGUCCUCUAUGCCCUGAGGCAGAAAGACAGCUGGAACAGGAGAUCAACCGCACCAUCCAGAUGUGAUUAUUUGAGAUUUUAUAUUAUCCUUGUACCGUUCUGUGAGCCAGGAGCCAGCCUUUGCGGAGGAAAUGGAGGCAGCCAUGAAAGAGUUGGUCCAGGAGCUUCAGAGGAGGAUGAGCAUGAUGGACCAUCAUGCUCUUGCCCAGAGUGUUCUGCCUCUCUGUCGUUUUUCACCUGCAGAGCUACAUUCAGGCAAAGGAGGCCACUACAGGGAAGAAUGGUCCAGUUGAGCCUUCCCACCUCUGGGAGGCUUACUGCCAGGCUACUGCCCCACAUCCUGCUGUGCACAGCCCCAAUGCUGAAGCCACCUAUACAUGUGGUAUUGUGAAUUUGUUGCUUCAAGGGCUGGUGCCCAAGUCCCACUUGGAGACUCAUACUGGAUGCCAUGUAGUGGUUGAACUCAUCAUAUGCAGUGUAGUCUUACCACUGAUCAGCCGGCUGUCAGAUCCUGACUGGAUCCACCUUGUCCUCAUGGGUAUCUUUUCCAAGGCCAGAGAUCCAGCACCCUGCCCAGCCAGUACCCCUGAACAGCCCUCAGUGCCCACAUCUCUGCCACUGAUUGCUGAGGUACAGCAGCUUCCAGAAGGGAGGGCUCCUUCUCCAGUAGCAGCCCCAGGGUUCCUAAGUAAACAGUGAGCCAGAGAUUCCUGCAGGCCCCUCCUCAGAGGUUGAAGGUGGCCAGGAAGCUGUAGAGGGAGAUUUGGGUGGAAUGUCUGAAAAAAGAAAAGUAGGAAACAACUCAUCUCAUUUCCUACAGCCAAAUAUUCGAGGCCCCCUGUUCUUAUGUGGAGACUCAGAGCUGGAGUCUCUGCUGUCUGAAGUAGGCUAAGAAACCAUCAUGCUAGACUCCAGGCCACUUUCUGUCUGACAGGAUUCAGGAUGCCCUGUGUGCCCUAGAGGGUUCCCAGGCUCUGGAACCCAAAGGUGGUGAGGGAUCUGAAGGAGCAGAGGCUGAGGAGGGUCCAGGGACAGAAACAGAGACAGGCCUGCCUGUCUCCACACUGAACUUCUGCCCAGAGAUCCAGAUUGACACAGCAGACAAGGAGAUAGAACAAGGAGAAGUUACCACCUCUGUUACAGCUUUGCUGGAGGGGCUGGAAAAGACCUGCUCCUCACGGCCCUCAUGCUUAGAGAAGGAUCUCACCAAUGAUGUGACCUACCUUGAUCCUAGUCUGCCACCACUUCUGCUUUCCUCCUCUUCACCUGGUCCUCUCAGCUCAGCCACCUUCAGCUUUGAACCCCUAAGCAGUCCAGAUGGCCCAGUUGUCAUCCAGAACCUUCAUAUCACUGGCACCAUUACAGCCCGAGAGCACAGUGGCACCAGAUUGCACCCAUGCACACGCUGUACUGUGAAGUAUGAGACAUCCCUUGUCGGUGAAAACAGCAGCCUGCAGCAGCUGGCCUACCACAUUGUGAAUCACCGCUAUUGGGAGUUCUUGAAUCUGCAGGCCGUCAGGAGAAGAAACCAGAUCUAUGAAAGUUCAUUAGAAAUGUGAAGGGUCCUAAAAAGCUCUUUCCAGAUCUUCCAUUUGGAAACAUGGACAGUGACAGAGUAGAAGCCUGUAAGAGCCUCCUAUAAUAAUUCCUGAAGCAACUGUAUGCCAUUCCAGCGAUUGCUAACAACAGUGAGGAGGUGCAGGAGUUUCUUGCUGUGAACACAGAUGCUCGCAUUUCCUUUGUCAAGAAACCAUUUAUGGUCUCUAGAAUAGAGAAGAUGGUGUUGAGUGCCAUUGUGGACACCUUGAAGACAGCGUUUCCUUGCUCUGAAUCCCAGAGCCCCACAGAGAAGCUGAGUGAGGCCGAGACUGAAAGCAAGUCCCAUAUAGAAGGCAAGAAGGCUAGCAAGUCCAGGCUGAGGUUCUUACCCAGUAAAAUAUCUCCAGCACUAAGUGUGACUGAAGCACAAGACAAGAUUCUUUAUUGUCUCCAGGAAGGCAAUGUGGAGUCCAAGACCCUAUCCAUGUCUGGGAUGGAAUCUUUUAUUGAAAAACAGACAAAGUUACUGGAGAUGGAGGCAACAGAAGCCCCAGAAAAAGAUCCUGAACAACUUCCCAAAGGACAUGUGGACAGCUGCUUGUCAGAUGCAGCUGUGCCAGCCCACGAUCCAGCAACGACGGUUCAGGAACAGAGACAGAGUUAGCUGACACAGCCGUGAAUCUGCUUCUCUUGCUACUAACAGAACAGUGGAAAUGGCUGUGUACUGAAAACAUGUAGAUGUUUCUUCAUCUUAUCUUUGGUACCCUAGUUUAAAGGUGGCUAGACGUGCAGGUAGCUAAUUUAACAAGUCCACAGUGCUGGGUGCAGUACCUCUGGCUUCUUCUGGAGUCCAUCUGGCCUGGUGGAGUUUUGCCUAAGUUUCCACGGCCUGUAAGGACCCAGGAGCAGAAACUGGCUGCUGAGAAACAGGCUUUGCAGAGCCUAAUGGGAGUCCUCCCAGAUCUCAUAGUAGAAAUUCUUGGGGUGAACAAAUGCCAGCUGAGUGUCUAGUCUUGGAGUCACUACAACAACCACUCAUCAACAGGCAUUUGAUUUACUGCCUUGGGGACAUUAUCCUGGAAUUCUUGGAUCUCAGUGCCUCUGUUGAGGAGUCCGCUGCUACCACCUCUGCUUCAGAUACCCCAGGCAGCCCUAAGAGGCUGGGUGUCU
This 2971-nucleotide long non-coding RNA is filed under the name Homo sapiens (human). RNAcentral's name for it is "non-protein coding lnc-TUBA3C-15:1". The record is from RNAcentral. Lineage: Eukaryota; Metazoa; Chordata; Mammalia; Primates; Hominidae.